AUUUGUACUCCCUGCUUAAAGGGACACAGGGCCCGCCUCCUCUGGCCCCGGCACCACCUCCUGAGUCAGACGCAGGCAGUGAGAGAGAGUUAGCUGCAUCUCUCAGGGCCCUAAAGCUUCUUUUUCUGGAAAGUGGCUUUUAUUGGCAUGCCAGGGUAUAAUUUGCCCUGCCAGGUGGGAGCCGUGGCUGAGGAAUGCAGAGGAGGAAGAGCUGGGGACAGCCUGCAUUCCUGGCAGUGCAGGAGCAAGUGGGGCGCCUCCAGUGUCUGCGGCCCUCCCCGCCCCGCCAGCUGGCAAACAUGUGCUGUGACUGCCAGGCCGCCAGGGAGCCGUGAAUGAAGGAGGCUGGGCUGAGGUUUGAAGUAGUGUUAUGAUUAUUCUCGACAAAGACGAGAGGGCACAGCUGUUCAUUCAGGAAAAGAGCAGCCCGUGGCACCACCCACCUACCCACCAGCAGCUGAGCUACAAAGAAAUCAUCUGCUGAAAACCAGGGGCUCUGCCCUGGAGGCUAUUUCUGUGGAAACCAAGCAUUCAAAAGCUCAUCUCCUCGAAAGCCUCCGUCGCCUUGGAGAGACUGUAGAGGAUCACUCUGGCUGCAGCUUAGAGGACGGCCCGAGGCCAGCAAGGAGAGUAGUUACCGGCUGGGCGAGAGAUGACUGGAUUGCACCGAGGUCGCCUAGCAACCUGAGAGCGUUGUCGGAGGGUUGACAGCUGCGCCUA
Long non-coding RNA from Lagenorhynchus albirostris (white-beaked dolphin), 720 nucleotides. RefSeq lists it as uncharacterized. The record is from RefSeq and is a predicted model, not a curated record. Lineage: Eukaryota; Metazoa; Chordata; Mammalia; Artiodactyla; Delphinidae. The transcript has 3 exons.